GGGGAUGUGGCUCAGUGGUAGAACGGCUCACCUCACACGUGCGAAACCCUGGGUUCAAACCUCAGCACCACA
Molecule: transfer RNA, 72 nt
Filed under: Marmota monax (woodchuck)
Lineage: Eukaryota; Metazoa; Chordata; Mammalia; Rodentia; Sciuridae
Description: tRNA.Val
Source: RNAcentral